UAGAGUUUGAUCCUGGCUCAGAUUGAACGCUGGCGGCAGGCCUAACACAUGCAAGUCGAGCGGAUGAGUGGAGCUUGCUCCAUG
RNAcentral lists this ribosomal RNA (84 nucleotides) under uncultured bacterium. RNAcentral describes it as "partial 16S ribosomal RNA". It matches the Rfam family "Bacterial small subunit ribosomal RNA", at positions 1 to 89 of the family's 1533-position model. The record is from RNAcentral.